Molecule: small RNA, 32 nt
Filed under: Bombyx mori (domestic silkworm)
Lineage: Eukaryota; Metazoa; Arthropoda; Insecta; Lepidoptera; Bombycidae
Description: ovarian small RNA-3437
Source: RNAcentral
UCGCGUUGAGGUCCCCGACCAGCAGAGCUGGG